Molecule: long non-coding RNA, 285 nt
Organism: Vidua chalybeata
Lineage: Eukaryota; Metazoa; Chordata; Aves; Passeriformes; Viduidae
Exons: 3
Source: RefSeq, a predicted model, not a curated record
AAGCUAAACACAAUGCAGCAAACCCAAUACUGUAUCAAUAAAAGCAAACAUACCUACAUCUCUGAGGAAGCUGGAAAGAAAACAGAUCAGAAGGCUGGGGUUAGCCAUGCACACACUCAGUCCAGCCAAGCACAUCUCCCCCUACAGCGCAGAGAAAUGGGAUACUCCAUGGAUGUAAAUAUCAUCAUCAACCCAAGAGGAAGGAACAGAUGAUGAAGAACUGGACCAACAACAGCCUGUUAUGAGAAGAGCAAGUGUCAGUCAAGCAAAUGAAAAAGAGCUAUC